This 2785-nucleotide ribosomal RNA is filed under the name Shigella dysenteriae. RNAcentral's name for it is "bacterial LSU rRNA". It matches the Rfam family "Bacterial large subunit ribosomal RNA". Lineage: Bacteria; Pseudomonadati; Pseudomonadota; Gammaproteobacteria; Enterobacterales; Enterobacteriaceae. The record is from RNAcentral.
AGCGUACACGGUGGAUGCCCUGGCAGUCAGAGGCGAUGAAGGACGUGCUAAUCUGCGAUAAGCGUCGGUAAGGUGAUAUGAACCGUUAUAACCGGCGAUUUCCGAAUGGGGAAACCCAGUGUGAUUCGUCACACUAUCAUUAACUGAAUCCAUAGGUUAAUGAGGCGAACCGGGGGAACUGAAACAUCUAAGUACCCCGAGGAAAAGAAAUCAACCGAGAUUCCCCCAGUAGCGGCGAGCGAACGGGGAGCAGCCCAGAGCCUGAAUCAGUGUGUGUGUUAGUGGAAGCGUCUGGAAAGGCGUGCGAUACAGGGUGACAGCCCCGUACACAAAAAUGCACAUAUUGUGAGCUCGAUGAGUAGGGCGGGACACGUGGUAUCCUGUCUGAAUAUGGGGGGACCAUCCUCCAAGGCUAAAUACUCCUGACUGACCGAUAGUGAACCAGUACCGUGAGGGAAAGGCGAAAAGAACCCCGGCGAGGGGAGUGAAAAAGAACCUGAAACCGUGUACGUACAAGCAGUGGGAGCACGCUUAGGCGUGUGACUGCGUACCUUUUGUAUAAUGGGUCAGCGACUUAUAUUCUGUAGCAAGGUUAACCGAAUAGGGGAGCCGAAGGGAAACCGAGUCUUAACUGGGCGUUAAGUUGCAGGGUAUAGACCCGAAACCCGGUGAUCUAGCCAUGGGCAGGUUGAAGGUUGGGUAACACUAACUGGAGGACCGAACCGACUAAUGUUGAAAAAUUAGCGGAUGACUUGUGGCUGGGGGUGAAAGGCCAAUCAAACCGGGAGAUAGCUGGUUCUCCCCGAAAGCUAUUUAGGUAGCGCCUCGUGAAUUCAUCUCCGGGGGUAGAGCACUGUUUCGGCAAGGGGGUCAUCCCGACUUACCAACCCGAUGCAAACUGCGAAUACCGGAGAAUGUUAUCACGGGAGACACACGGCGGGUGCUAACGUCCGUCGUGAAGAGGGAAACAACCCAGACCGCCAGCUAAGGUCCCAAAGUCAUGGUUAAGUGGGAAACGAUGUGGGAAGGCCCAGACAGCCAGGAUGUUGGCUUAGAAGCAGCCAUCAUUUAAAGAAAGCGUAAUAGCUCACUGGUCGAGUCGGCCUGCGCGGAAGAUGUAACGGGGCUAAACCAUGCACCGAAGCUGCGGCAGCGACACUAUGUGUUGUUGGGUAGGGGAGCGUUCUGUAAGCCUGUGAAGGUGUACUGUGAGGUAUGCUGGAGGUAUCAGAAGUGCGAAUGCUGACAUAAGUAACGAUAAAGCGGGUGAAAAGCCCGCUCGCCGGAAGACCAAGGGUUCCUGUCCAACGUUAAUCGGGGCAGGGUGAGUCGACUCCUAAGGCGAGGCCGAAAGGCGUAGUCGAUGGGAAACAGGUUAAUAUUCCUGUACUUGGUGUUACUGCGAAGGGGGACGGAGAAGGCUAUGUUGGCCGGGCGACGGUUGUCCCGGUUUAAGCGUGUAGGCUGGUUUUCCAGGCAAAUCCGGAAAACUAAGGCUGAGGCGUGAUGACGAGGCACUACGGUGCUGAAGCAACAAAUGCCCUGCUUCCAGGAAAAGCCUCUAAGCAUCAGGUAACAUCAAAUCGUACCCCAAACCGACACAGGUGGUCAGGUAGAGAAUACCAAGGCGCUUGAGAGAACUCGGGUGAAGGAACUAGGCAAAAUGGUGCCGUAACUUCGGGAGAAGGCACGCUGAUAUGUAGGUGAAGUCCCUCGCGGAUGGAGCUGAAAUCAGUCGAAGAUACCAGCUGGCUGCAACUGUUUAUUAAAAACACAGCACUGUGCAAACACGAAAGUGGACGUAUACGGUGUGACGCCUGCCCGGUGCCGGAAGGUUAAUUGAUGGGGUCAGCGCAAGCGAAGCUCUUGAUCGAAGCCCCGGUAAACGGCGGCCGUAACUAUAACGGUCCUAAGGUAGCGAAAUUCCUUGUCGGGUAAGUUCCGACCUGCACGAAUGGCGUAAUGAUGGCCAGGCUGUCUCCACCCGAGACUCAGUGAAAUUGAACUCGCUGUGAAGAUGCAGUGUACCCGCGGCAAGACGGAAAGACCCCGUGAACCUUUACUAUAGCUUGACACUGAACAUUGAGCCUUGAUGUGUAGGAUAGGUGGGAGGCUUUGAAGUGUGGACGCCAGUCUGCAUGGAGCCGACCUUGAAAUACCACCCUUUAAUGUUUGAUGUUCUAACGUUGACCCGUAAUCCGGGUUGCGGACAGUGUCUGGUGGGUAGUUUGACUGGGGCGGUCUCCUCCUAAAGAGUAACGGAGGAGCACGAAGGUUGGCUAAUCCUGGUCGGACAUCAGGAGGUUAGUGCAAUGGCAUAAGCCAGCUUGACUGCGAGCGUGACGGCGCGAGCAGGUGCGAAAGCAGGUCAUAGUGAUCCGGUGGUUCUGAAUGGAAGGGCCAUCGCUCAACGGAUAAAAGGUACUCCGGGGAUAACAGGCUGAUACCGCCCAAGAGUUCAUAUCGACGGCGGUGUUUGGCACCUCGAUGUCGGCUCAUCACAUCCUGGGGCUGAAGUAGGUCCCAAGGGUAUGGCUGUUCGCCAUUUAAAGUGGUACGCGAGCUGGGUUUAGAACGUCGUGAGACAGUUCGGUCCCUAUCUGCCGUGGGCGCUGGAGAACUGAGGGGGGCUGCUCCUAGUACGAGAGGACCGGAGUGGACGCAUCACUGGUGUUCGGGUUGUCAUGCCAAUGGCACUGCCCGGUAGCUAAAUGCGGAAGAGAUAAGUGCUGAAAGCAUCUAAGCACGAAACUUGCCCCGAGAUGAGUUCUCCCUGACUCCUUGA